GGAGUUGAGCUGUCACAGUACAGCAGCAUGAAUCACCUGGUUGUAACAAGAAACGAACUCUGAUGGAGCAGCAGUGUUGUAUAACAUGAUAACGUCAUAAGAUAAUAUUCUAUAGUCUCCGUUUUAUGCAUUUUUAUUGCUAUGAACAAUCCCUUUUGAUUUAUUAUCUCUCUGCUCUUCCAGCUCUGGACCUAACACAUCCGGGAGUAAAGAAGGUUUGGCUGGUGUAUUCUGCAGACAGUCGCCGGUACUUGGACGUGGUAAUCAAGUUUGCGGAUUUCCUGCGGGACGCUUGGGGAAUGGAGGUCGUGCUGGACCGUUGUCAAGUUAAUAACAUCGGACUGGUUGGUGCCGCAACAUGGCUGAACCAUCAGAAGGCUGAGAUCGAGAAAGUGAACGGGACUAUUUUGCUUCUGUGUUCUCGGGGGACACAAGAGAAAUGGCUAGCCAGGCAAAAUUAUGAAGGGAACAAAGUGGCGCUGAGAGAAAACAGGCAUUUAUUUUCCCUUGACCAGGGUGACCUCUUCUCCCUCACCCUCAACUUUAUCAUCCCGGACUUUGAAAUGAAUAUACAAGAGCGUUAUGUGGUGGCUUAUUUCGGCGAUUUGAGCAGCAUUGACAACAUCCCCUCUCUAUUUAAAAUGUGCCCCCAGUACUGCAUCCCGCAAGACCUACAAGAUGUGUUCUUUAGGAUUCAUAGGAUAGAACAGUGCCGUCCUGGAGUUAAGGUCACCGCUCCACAGCAGCAAACCAAAAGUUAUGGCUUCUUGAUGCAAGCCUUGAACAAGUGCAAGGUCUUGGCAGGACGAGCAUCCCAAUUGGUUCCAGAAACAGUGUUUGCCCAAUGAUGGAGUGGAAUCUGACCAUGAAGAUGAAGAUAUUAGCGAAGGUCUUACGCAGCAGCUUAAACCACUUGUGCACAUUCCCAAUUGUUCAAUCUCUAUGAUGAACCCUGUCAUUGCUAAGCCACUCUCUACCAUGGUAACCGACCCUAUUAUUGCAGAAGGGCCUUCAAGCCUCCUGGUCCAGCCUCACGUGCAUGAAGGGGGCUCAAGUGUGCAAACAUGGCAGCCUAUCCUAAUGGAUGGACAAAUCUGCAGACAGGAUCUCCACUUGAACCCUCCGCAAGAUGACAGCGUAUCUGUUGGAGAACAUUACUCUUCUCCGCUCUCAGACCAGGGUUACCUCUCAUUGGAUCUGCUGAGAGAGGAGCAUAUGAAACUUUUAAUGCAGCUGCCCCAGAGUGACCUCCUAGAGAUUCCAGAGGAGGAAGACUACUUGAGGCUGGAGCAAGUGAAGCAUUCUGAGCAGCCAGACCAGGGAUACAUCACCUGGGACUCAAUGAGUAGUCUGGACAGGGAAUCUUUGAUGGCAGCCCAAGUUAAACUGCUGCAGCAGAGUGGAGUCUUGGAAUGAUGCAGUCAAGUGAGGCCACGCACUGUUUGUGAUUACUUCUUACAUGUGCACUUGUAUGUGUGUAUAUUAUAUACUCCUAACAUUUUAUUAAGCGUAAACGUAUGAUGAAAGUGGCCUUCCAGAUGCAGCAGGAACGGGAUUGGUAAAAGAGAUUUGCCACACUUUAAACAACUGUUGCUUGACCACAAAUCCCAAAAAUGCUUUUAAGAAUACAACCGCUUUUUAAGAAUACGGUUGUAUCCUUAAAACGAUAUUGCUCAAUUAAAUCUUUCCAACCUUGUCCACCCCUGUUACAUAAAUCAUGGAUAUCCUCAGCUUGCUUCCCCUUCCACUCCCUUUAUUAUGCCCUAGGUAAUUUGUCCUCAAACCAGCCGAGCCUCUCCUCAAAGCGGCUGUAGGGCUUCCAUGAGAAACACACGAGUCCUGUUCCAAAAUUUAACGCCACUUUAAUCAAUGACAAUAGAUUACAAUCACUUAAUAGGAGGUAAAUAUAUAUAUAUGAUAACUGUAAAUACAUUUUCUUUGCAACUUCAGAGCUGUACAGUGUAAAUAAAAAUACUUUCUGCCACCCGCUCCAAACUGCUCAUCCUUAAAAUAAACUUCAAAUCUCGCAGAUA
RNA transcript from Xenopus laevis (African clawed frog), 2033 nucleotides. It is a transcript of the gene named interleukin-17 receptor A-like, with no coding region annotated. Lineage: Eukaryota; Metazoa; Chordata; Amphibia; Anura; Pipidae. The record is from RefSeq and is a predicted model, not a curated record. The transcript has a single exon.